Molecule: ribosomal RNA, 253 nt
Filed under: uncultured bacterium
Lineage: Bacteria
Description: partial 16S ribosomal RNA
Rfam family: Bacterial small subunit ribosomal RNA
Source: RNAcentral
UACGUAGGGUGCGAGCGUUGUCCGGAAUUAUUGGGCGUAAAGGGCUCGUAGGCGGUCUGUUGCGUCAGGAGUGAAAACUCGGGGCUUAACCCCGAGCCUGCUUCUGAUACGGGCAGACUAGAGGUAUGCAGGGGAGAACGGAAUUCCUGGUGUAGCGGUGAAAUGCGCAGAUAUCAGGAGGAACACCGGUGGCGAAGGCGGUUCUCUGGGCAUUACCUGACGCUGAGGAGCGAAAGCCAGGGGAGCAAACGGG